UGAGGAAUAUUGGUCAAUGGGCGGAAGCCUGAACCAGCCAUGCCGCGUGAAGGACGAAGGCGUUCUGCGUUGUAAACUUCUUUUAUAAGGGAAGAAACCUGGAUUUUCUAAUUCAGCCGACGGUACCUUAUGAAUAAGCACCGGCUAACUCCGUGCCAGCAGCCGCGGUAAUACGGAGGGUGCAAGCGUUAUCCGGAUUUACUGGGUUUAAAGGGUGUGUAGGCGGGUUUGUAAGUCAGGGGUGAAAUCCUACAGCUUAACUGUAGAACUGCCUUUGAUACUAUAGAUCUUGAAUAUUGUUGAGGUAGGCGGAAUACAUCAUGUAGCGGUGAAAUGCUUAGAUAUGAUGUAGAACACCGAUUGCGAAGGCAGCUUACUAAACAAAUAUUGACGCUGAGGCACGAAAGCGUGGGGAUCAAACA
Molecule: ribosomal RNA, 422 nt
Filed under: uncultured bacterium
Lineage: Bacteria
Description: bacterial SSU rRNA
Rfam family: Bacterial small subunit ribosomal RNA
Source: RNAcentral